UAAACAAGCUCUCCAGGACAUUUUAUUGGU
RNAcentral lists this non-coding RNA (30 nucleotides) under Rattus norvegicus (Norway rat). The record is from RNAcentral. Lineage: Eukaryota; Metazoa; Chordata; Mammalia; Rodentia; Muridae.